GUGACCUCAAAUCAGGUAGGACUACCCGCUGAACUUAAGCAUAUCAAUAAGCGGAGGAAAAGAAACUAACAAGGAUUCCCCUAGUAACUGCGAGUGAAGUGGGAAAAGCUCAAAUUUAAAAUCUGGCAGUCUCUGGCUGUCCGAGUUGUAAUCUAGAGAAGUGUUAUCCGCGCUGGACCGUGUACAAGUCUCCUGGAAUGGAGCGUCAUAGAGGGUGAGAAUCCCGUCUUUGACACGGACUGCCAGGGCUUUGUGAUGCGCUCUCAAAGAGUCGAGUUGUUUGGGAAUGCAGCUCAAAAUGGGUGGUAAAUUCCAUCUAAAGCUAAAUAUUGGCGAGAGACCGAUAGCGAACAAGUACCGUGAGGGAAAGAUGAAAAGAACUUUGGAAAGAGAGUUAAACAGUACGUGAAAUUGCUGAAAGGGAAACGCUUGAAGUCAGUCGCGUUGGUCAGGGAUCAACCUUGCUUUUGCUAGGUGUACUUUCUGGUUGACGGGUCAGCAUCAAUUUUGAUCAUUGGAAAAAGAUUAGGGGAAUGUGGCAUCCUUGGAUGUGUUAUAGCCCUUGGUUGUAUACAAUGGUUGGGAUUGAGGAGCUCAGCACGCCGCAAGGCCGGGUUUACCACGUACGUGCUAGA
Molecule: ribosomal RNA, 635 nt
Filed under: Thaxterogaster herpeticus
Lineage: Eukaryota; Fungi; Basidiomycota; Agaricomycetes; Agaricales; Cortinariaceae
Description: eukaryotic LSU rRNA
Rfam family: Eukaryotic large subunit ribosomal RNA
Source: RNAcentral